This is a long non-coding RNA of Odocoileus virginianus texanus, 419 nucleotides long. RefSeq lists it as uncharacterized. The record is from RefSeq and is a predicted model, not a curated record. NCBI's taxonomy places the organism in Eukaryota, Metazoa, Chordata, Mammalia, Artiodactyla, Cervidae.
UGUAGUUCUGAAUUGGAGAAAUAUAUUCUACAUAUAUUUUUACAGUGCAAAGAAUGAGCUGAAUCCAAGGAAGAACAGAAAAAGUUAACUGAGUUAUCCAGUGGCAUCUUCCAUCAGAAAAUACCAGAUACAAGACUCUGGAGGCAAGAUUCGGACAACUUUUAUUCCACGAUACUGUAAAGGAUCUUGUACCUGCAUAGAUGGCAUAAAAACAGGACUUCCAGGAUUGUGUUGAAAAGAGCGCUAAGAAUAAUCAUACUGGCCUUUUUCCUUAUCUUAGAGGAAAAUCUUUCAAGUUUUCACCAUUGUAUGUGAUAUUAGACUGACAAAAAUUGUUUUAGAAGAAUGAGUUGCAUUGGAAAGUGCUGGACAAAUGCUAUUUUAUGCAAGAAGUCUCUUCGAAGAUGAUCAGAUGGAAA